GUGCUACAAUGGGUAGUACAGAGGGUUGCCAAGCCGUAAGGUGGAGCUAAUCCCUUAAAGCUACUCUCAGUUCGGAUUGUAGGCUGAAACUCGCCUACAUGAAGCUGGAGUUACUAGUAAUCGCAGAGCAGAAUGCUGCGGUGAAUGCGUUCCCGGGUCUUGUACACACCGCCCGUCACACCACGGGAGUUGGAGACGCCCGAAGCCGAUUAUCUAACC
RNAcentral lists this ribosomal RNA (219 nucleotides) under Clostridioides difficile. Its description in RNAcentral is "partial 16S ribosomal RNA". It matches the Rfam family "Bacterial small subunit ribosomal RNA", at positions 1222 to 1440 of the family's 1533-position model. Lineage: Bacteria; Bacillati; Bacillota; Clostridia; Peptostreptococcales; Peptostreptococcaceae. The record is from RNAcentral.